GACGAACGCUGGCGGCGUGCUUAACACAUGCAAGUCGAACGGUGAAGCGCCUUCCUUUUUGGUGGGUGUGGAUGAGUGGCGAACGGGUGAGUAACACGUGAGUAACCUGCCCCCUUCUUCUGGAUAACCGCAUGAAAGUGUGGCUAAUACGGGAUAUUCUGGGUCUGUCGCAUGAUGGGUCUGGGAAAGAUAUUGUUUCGGUGGGGGAUGGGCUCGCGGCCUAUCAGCUUGUUGGUGGGGUGAUGGCCUACCAAGGCGGUGACGGGUAGCCGGCCUGGGAGGGUGGACGGUCACACUGGGACUGAGACACGGCCCAGACUCCGACGGGAGGCAGCAGGGGGGAAUAUUGCACAAUGGGCGCAAGCCUGAUGCAGCGACGCCGCGUGAGGGAUGGAGGCCUUCGGGUUGUGAACCUCUUUCGCCAGUGAAGCAGGCCUGCCUCGUUUGUGGGUGGGUUGACGGUAGCUGGAGAAGAAGCGCCGGCUAACUACGUG
Molecule: ribosomal RNA, 494 nt
Filed under: uncultured bacterium
Lineage: Bacteria
Description: partial 16S ribosomal RNA
Rfam family: Bacterial small subunit ribosomal RNA
Source: RNAcentral